AUUGUAUUUAGGAUGUCUAAUAAAAUUAGAAUGAUACAGAUUAGCAUGACCCAUGCACAAGGAUGACAUAUAAAUCGAGAAAUGGUCAGAUUAAGAUU
Molecule: small nuclear RNA, 98 nt
Organism: Benincasa hispida (wax gourd)
Lineage: Eukaryota; Viridiplantae; Streptophyta; Magnoliopsida; Cucurbitales; Cucurbitaceae
Source: RefSeq, a predicted model, not a curated record